GGGGGGGGGGGGGGGGGGGGCGGGGGGAGGGGGGGCGGGGGGGGGGGGGGGGAGCUGGCUGCUCGGAGGUUGGCGGCGGGCGGGUGGGUAACACGUGGGUAGCCGACCUGUAAGACUGGGAUAACUUCGGGAAACCGUAGCUAAUACCGGAUAAUAUUUUGAACCGCAUGGUUCAAAAGUGAAAGACGGUCUUGCGGUCACUUAUAGAUGGAUCCGCGCUGCAUUAGCUAGUUGGUAAGGUAACGGCUUACCAAGGCAACGAUGCAUAGCCGACCUGAGAGGGUGAUCGGCCACACUGGAACUGAGACACGGUCCAGACUCCUACGGGAGGCAGCAGUAGGGAAUCUUCCGCAAUGGGCGAAAGCCUGCCGGAGCAACGCCGCGUGAGUGAUGAAGGUCUUCGGAUCGUAAAACUCUGUUAUUAGGGAAGAACAUAUGUGUAAGUAACUGUGCACAUCUUGACGGUACCUAAUCAGAAAGCCCCGGCUAACUACGUG
Molecule: ribosomal RNA, 497 nt
Filed under: uncultured bacterium
Lineage: Bacteria
Description: partial 16S ribosomal RNA
Rfam family: Bacterial small subunit ribosomal RNA
Source: RNAcentral